GAUCCUGGCUCAGGACGAACGCUGGCGGCGUGCCUAACACAUGCAAGUCGAGCGGAGACAGUGAGUAGCUUGCUAUGAGCUGUUUUAGCGGCGGACGGGUGAGUAACGCGUGAGCAACCUUUCCCAGACAGGGGAAUAACACACCGAAAGGUGUACUAAUACCGCAUAAGACCACGGGAUCACAUGGUUCUGGGGUAAAAGAAUUAUCGGUUUGGGGUGGGCUCGCGUCCGAUUAGGUAGUUGGUGAGGUAACCGG
Molecule: ribosomal RNA, 256 nt
Filed under: uncultured bacterium
Lineage: Bacteria
Description: partial 16S ribosomal RNA
Rfam family: Bacterial small subunit ribosomal RNA
Source: RNAcentral